This 253-nucleotide ribosomal RNA is filed under the name uncultured bacterium. Its description in RNAcentral is "partial 16S ribosomal RNA". It matches the Rfam family "Bacterial small subunit ribosomal RNA", at positions 524 to 776 of the family's 1533-position model. The record is from RNAcentral.
UACGAAGGGGGCUAGCGUUGCUCGGAAUCACUGGGCGUAAAGCGCACGUAGGCGGCUUUCUAAGUCAGGGGUGAAAUCCUGGAGCUCAACUCCAGAACUGCCUUUGAUACUGGAGAGCUUGAGUCCGGAAGAGGUGAGUGGAACUCCGAGUGUAGAGGUGAAAUUCGUAGAUAUUCGGAAGAACACCAGUGGCGAGGGCGGCUCACUGGUCCGGUACUGACGCUGAGGGGCGAAAGCGUGGGGAGCGAACGGG